AGUGAACGCUGGCGGUAGGCCUAACACAUGCAAGUCGAACGGCAGCACAGGAGAGCUUGCUCUCUGGGUGGCGAGUGGCGGACGGGUGAGGAAUACAUCGGAAUCUACCUUUUCGUGAGGGAUAACGUAGGGAAACUUACGCUAAUACCGCAUACGACCUACGGGUGAAAGUGGGGGACCGCAAGGCCUCACGCGAUUAGAUGAGCCGAUGUCCGAUAGCUAGUUGGCGGGGUAAUGGCCCACCAAGGCGACGAUCGGUAGCUGGUCUGAGAGGAUGAUCAGCCACACUGGAACUGAGACACGGUCCAGACUCCUACGGGAGGCAGCAGUGGGGAAUAUUGGACAAUGGGCGCAAGCCUGAUCCAGCCAUACCGCGUGGGUGAAGAAGGCCUUCGGGUUGUAAAGCCCUUUUGUUGGGAAAGAAAUCCUAUCGGUUAAUAACCGGUGGGGAUGACGGUACCCAAAGGAUAAGCACCGGCUAACUUCGUGCCAGCAGCCGCAGUAA
This 505-nucleotide ribosomal RNA is filed under the name uncultured bacterium. RNAcentral describes it as "partial 16S ribosomal RNA". It matches the Rfam family "Bacterial small subunit ribosomal RNA", at positions 29 to 523 of the family's 1533-position model. The record is from RNAcentral.